UUUGCCCACAAGGAUUAUUAGACAGUGCAAAGAGUACCUGCUACAACAAUUAUCAAAACGAUCAAACUGCAUCCAAACUCCAUUGUUGUGUGAUCGAAUACAGCAGGACUUGUGUUCCGGAAAUACUCGAAAGGCAAAGAUGCGACGAGACGUUUCUUCUUGAGCAUUUCUUUAAGGACAUCAACGCCGACUGUGGAACAUCGAAGCCAGUCUGCUUGGAGUGCACUCAAAACGCAAUAUCGGAUGCGGAAGAUGUGUGCUUGAGGAAAUACGAACAGGAACACGGCAUCAUUUCUAGAGGCCUGAU
Molecule: long non-coding RNA, 307 nt
Organism: Ornithodoros turicata
Lineage: Eukaryota; Metazoa; Arthropoda; Arachnida; Ixodida; Argasidae
Exons: 3
Source: RefSeq, a predicted model, not a curated record